GGAGAAAUUUAUGCACCAUGAAGCUUACUUAUAUCCAUUACUCACCAAUGUCUUUCAAUAAUAAGCAAGUCUCUUCCAAGAAGAGCUUGUGGUUCUGCUCCUAUGUGUGUGUGUAAACUCACAGGAUACCAGCCUAUGGAUUUUACACAAUUGAAAAUAAUGCUACCAUUAAGUUUCCAUAUCAGAUAAAUUAAAACAAUUUUAUUUCCAACUUCAACUACUGUUCAUCAACCAAGCAGAUGUUAGGAAUUUAAACUGAGAAGAGCCUGCAUUACAAAGUCAUAUUCCUCCCUAAGGCAUUAUAUUAUUUUUCCAUCUCAUCUCAGAAAAAAGUCCUUUCUUUGUUCCUAUAAGGAGCCACAUCCUAAACCAGAAUAUGGCAAGUUUGUAGCAUCAUUUUUACUGCCCUCACAUUCUAGAACCUUGGUCAUCAUCAGUAAAUGAUCAUACUACUCUCUCUUAGUAAAUGUGGGCUUUGUCUCAGAAUCUGUCAUUGCCAAUCAAACAGAUUGGUCAUACAAGAUCCAUCCUCAUUUCAAUUCCUAAGCCUAAACUCCUCUCAACCUGUGUAUUGGCCCUUCCAGUUUUUCAUUCAACAAAUCAUGACCAUUUGGCCAUAGUUAUGUGGUGUUUUGCCUCAAUUCCUUUGCUCAAAGUCUACCUUGAUUAUGCUGCUGGUUUUCCAUCUCAAGACCUAAAGGAAAAUAUAACCCUUUCUGAUGGUCAUCUUUCGUUUGGUAUUUCAGAAGCAAUAUAGUGCAAAUCUGCAGGACUUUCCCUCCCUCCUUCCCAAGGAUGUAAUGUGCCACAGUCCUAUACCAAAAGAGGGCCAUUGGUGAAAGGAGAUUUAAAAAAAAAGGGGUGGGGGAUGACAAACCAAAUGCCAUUAGAAGGCUCUAAAAGUUACUUUUAUCCAAAACACUUUCAAUUUUAGCACAUUUUUCACAUUUAAUAGUGCUUAUCCUCUGUUUACAGAGAGAAGGAAUCACCCUGACAGGUGGAUCUGUUCUUCCUCUUUGUUUUUUUUUUUGGGGUGGGCGCUGUGGGGGGUGAUGAGGGGGCGGGAAGCCAGAGGGAGAGAGAAAAUCUUAAUCAAGUUCCACAUCCAACUUGGAGCCUGAUGUGGGGCUUGAUCUCACAACCCUUAGUUUAUGACUUGAGCCAAAAUCAAGAGUCAAACACUUAACCAACGAGUCACUUAGGCACCUUUUGAUGGAACAUCCAGCUAACUCUCCAACUUCAAGAUUUAAUAAUUUGUUCACAUGCAUAUGAUCUUUCUUCUCUGAAUCUAAUAUAAUGAAACAAAUGAUUCCUCCUUUAAGUCCCCCCCAAAAAGCAGUGACAAAUAAAAGUAUUAUAUUAAAGAGGAGAGCUCUUAAGAAAGUUGCUAAUUACUUGACGGGAUGAGCACUGGGUGUUAUUCUGUAUGUUGACAAAUUGAACACCAAUAAAAAAUAAAUUAAAAUUUUUAAAAAGUUGCUAAUUAAGAGGCCGAACAACCAAAGAUAUUAACACACAAUUCACAAAAGAAAAAAUGUCCAAUAAAAUAUAAUAUUUUCAACCCAAGAAAUGCAAAUAUAAACCAUCAUUAAUUUUCUUUGUUUUGCCUAUGACUUUACCAAUGUUGAAAAAUACUGACAGGUGCUGGUGCACAAAAGUGGCGAUAUGCCACUAAUGUACUGCUGAUGCUGGAAGUCUCUUUGGUACAUACUUCCUGAAGAGCAAUUUGGCAAUAGGUGCUGCAUUCCUCUGAGUGCAAUCUGGAGAAGAGAAGCCACCUGUACUGAGGCUUACUUACACCAUGCCUAGGAUCCUGCGGGAAUAUAGAUCAGAAAGGCUCUUUACAGGAAACCAGAAGUAUAGGACCGUAAAAGAGUCACCACUGAUAUCCCAGUUCCCUGCAACACAGAAAUAAGUAGUUCUCAGGAAGAUAACCUGGAGACCGACAACUUCUCUUAGAAUUUCCGAAAGUCAGGCAAAACUCCCCUACUGGUUUAGAGAAUGGCUUCUCCUUCCUUCCUGUGUGAAUGCCUCUCAUUGGUAGAUUCUAGACAAAACUAUAAGCCCAGAGAACAUGAGAAAUACACUUUCUGGGCUUCAAGCCCCUAUGUUACAUGGUUGAACUUAAAAGGUAGCAUCAUAUUUUAGACGUUUCUAUCAUUGACUCAGUGAUUCCUCCUCUAGGAAUUUAAAAUGAAUUAAUCAAUCUGACUACAUGAUGCAUAUGCAAAUCCAUUUAUCAUGGCAUUAUUUGUAACAGAGAAAUAAUGGUAACUAUCUAAAUAUCCAUCAAGAGAGGAUUGUUAAAUCAAUGAUAGUACAUCCAUGCAACAGAAUCCCCAUGUGGGAGACAUUACUAAAGGUCAAAAAUUUCUGCUUCUCCUUAUCCUCUCAAGGUACACAGACUAGGACUAUGUCUUAGUCUUCCUGAAAUCAGGUGGUAUCACAUGCCUAGUUCUGGUCAGAUCAAGAAUAAAUUGUUUUAUUUUACUUCUAGACUAAAGCCAUAAAAAGCACUCUCUUCCCUUGCUGUAGUGACUCAGAGGUCCCAAAAGGAGAUGAGAGCCACAAUAUGGAAAAGACAUGGAUUGCUGAGUCAUUGCUUUGGGGGCACUGGACCCUCAGUCAAUGUAAGCAAGAAGUAAUCCCUGUGUCCUUAAACCACUGAGUUGAAGGGGUUAAUCUGUUAUUGUAGAAUAACCUUGCCUGUCCUGACUAAUAUAAUUUAUUAUUCACAAAAAGAUCAAUCUUUCUGUUCAUCAAAAUAGGAAAAUGGAGACAACAUAUCGUUUUGAGUAUAUUGCUUUAUAAAUGUCAAGCUUUCAAUAAAUAUCUUGACUGGAGGAAUGAACAGAUAAAAGCAGGUUGCAAAUAGUAUCUAUGCUAUUAUUCCAUUUACCUAAAAUUGUAUGAUUGUACAUAUGGUACAUAUACAAAACGUGUAGUGAAAGAUGCCUGUAAAGAUUCUCACAGGACUGUUAACUGUGGUUAUUUAGAACUAUGGGAUUUCUGACAACUUUUGCUUUAUUCUGUACAUUCUUCUAUAUAUUGCUUGAUUUUCAUAAAAUGUCCAUGUAUGAUCUCAAUAAGUUAGAUAAUAUCUGUAUAUUAAUAUUAAUGCUAAGAACAUAGUAAGCACUAGCUAUAAAUAUUAUCAUCAUUACUAACAAACGGAAAUUAUUUUAAAUAUAGGUUUCUAAAAAUUUUGAUAAACUGAAGCUUUAUUAUAUAUUCAUUGAAUUAUUAUUUUUUUUAAAAUUUCAUUUAUUUAUUCAUGAGAGACACAGAUAGAGAGAGAAGUAGAGACACAGGCAGAGGGAGAAGCAGGCUCCAUGCAGGGUGCCUGAUAUGGGACUCGAUCCCAGGUCUCCAGGACCACAACCUGGGCCGAAGGUGGUGCUAAACCGUGGAGCCACCCAGGCUGCCCUCAUUGAAUUAUUAAAAUACAGACUUCGAUGGCAUAUCCAGGCAUCCUACAGACUCUGCCCUUACCAGCAGCAUGACCUUAGCGAAUUUACCUCUUGAAGAUUACUGCUAUUCAGACAGGCUCUGGACUCAAUACCUGGGUUUGAAUUAACAUUUCUCUCUUUAGCACUAGUAUGAUUUCAAAUAAAUGACUUAAAUGUAGGGGGCCUUAGAUCCAUCAUCUGUAAAAAUGGAGCUCUAUUAUCUCCUUCCUAGGGAGGACUAAAUGAGCUAUUUUUGUCAUGGGAUACAAUAGUACAGAAGUAGAGAAGUUUAACUCUGGAGCCAGAAUGUCAGUGCUCUAAUGGCAGCUCAGUCCCUGGCUGGCUGUGCUACUCUUGGCCAUUCUCUUCAUCUCUCUAUACCUUAAUUUCCUUAUUUGGAAAAUGGGAGUGAAUAAUAGUAUCUAUUUAGAAUGUUCUUUUGAAGACUGAAUGAGUUAAUGCUCAUUGAGUUCUUAAACCAACGCCUGACACAUUUAAGCGCUUAUAAGUAAAAAUAAGUAAAUACUAUAUGUGAUGUGCUUGAAAAAGUGCCCAGCACAUAGUAAGCACUCUAUAAAUUUCAGGUGUGCAUUAACUCAGCCAGAUACAUAGUGAGUACACUACAGAAAGUACAUGCUUCUGUUAAGAUAAACUAAAAUGUUACAGAGGACAUCCUUAUUCUCUGAGAAUGUUAUAUAGAAAGUGGAUACUGCAGACAAAUCUUUCCAUUCUCUAGAAUGUUCCAGGAUACCACUU
RNAcentral lists this long non-coding RNA (4205 nucleotides) under Canis lupus familiaris (dog). Its description in RNAcentral is "lncRNA (ENSCAFG00845014668.1)". The record is from RNAcentral. Lineage: Eukaryota; Metazoa; Chordata; Mammalia; Carnivora; Canidae.